This is a long non-coding RNA of Pseudopipra pipra, 717 nucleotides long. RefSeq lists it as uncharacterized. NCBI's taxonomy places the organism in Eukaryota, Metazoa, Chordata, Aves, Passeriformes, Pipridae. The transcript is spliced from 2 exons. The record is from RefSeq and is a predicted model, not a curated record.
GACUGAAAUGGUUAAUGAUUUAUGCAUUCUAGGAGAUUUUUGCAGGCUUUUGACUUGCAUGAUACCUCUGAUGAGCAGUUGGGCCCCUCCCUCCCUCCAGUGCUGAAGGUGUGAAGUCCUGAAAAGGCAAGAGCUGAGCUUGUAGGCUUUUGACUAUUGAUACAUCUGAUGAGCAAUCAGGCCCCUCCCUCCCUCCAGUGCUGAAGGUGUGAAGUCCUGAAAAGGCAAGAGCUGAGCUUGCAGGCUUUUGACUGUUGAUACAUCUGAUGAGCAAUCAGGUCCCUCCCGCUGCUAAUCUUGAAAGGCGGGAACUAGGCGAGACACAAAAGACACAGCACACAGACCUAGGAGAUGUUGGAGGCUCGAGGCACGGCCCGUGACACUAACCAUGGAUAUAACUCAUAACUUCUUGGAGUAUGGGGGCUUCCCUCCUUCACCCCCAGCAGAUCAAGGCCACCACUUCAAGUGACAGACAUGGAAGCAUCGCUGGACCCCGUGGGCGGAACCUGCCAGCAGACGAAAUCAAACUGCAUGAAACCAAUAGAGCUUCAAUUGCAGCAAGAGGCAGAAGAGAUAACUGCCCCCACAACUGCUUCUAUUAUCAGCUUACAAGUAUCCCAUGAGAAAACGAAAUAGCAACAGGACUGAAGACUUAUACUGUUCUUUGACAUGUAUUUAUGUUUUUAUCUUAAUAACUUUGUAAUAUGCAUGCCUGUA